CCCUACUAAUGUUAAGCAGUGUGCUAAUAAUCCGAUCAAACAAAAUCCUUCUGUGAUGUGGUGCUCACCAUUUGCCCAUAUGGUGGAAGAUCCUGUUAUGUGUUAUUUAGCAAAGUGGAAACUUGGAGUGUUCAGUCUCCUGCAAGCAGCUUUGUAAGGUUGUCUCACAGCUCCUGGGAUGGAACUGAAAAUUGCUAUCCAUCUUGAAUUCCUGUUUCUUCGAAUCCAACAUCUCUGACGUCCAUCGACGAAGCUUGCCCUUCGACAGAGUCGAGAUCUUCCCCUUUAUAUCCAGAAAGGCAAAGAUGGAAGCAAAGAACUGGCUCGCUAGCCGGAUCUCUCCCACUGUUUCACAUCUUGAGUCAUCGUUAUAAUAUACUAAAUGACUCAAAUGAGUCUGAUCAUGUCCAGGUAAAGUAGUGAGGAGGAUACGGAGUAUGACUUGCACGAGGACAUGAAAUGCCAGGGGGAUGGGUAUAAUCAGCAUGGAGCGGGAGCCAAAAAGAGUGGGUGGAGUCGAGUGGCACAUGCUAGGGAUUCGCAAGUGUUUACUCUCGUUUGCUGCCCAGUUAUAUUUGACCUCUGUGGGUUGGCACGGCGGCGAUCUAUUGCAUUCUCGCUCCUUUAAUUGCUCAGGGAACAGACGAGGGCUUUGAAAAAUCCAAAAUGAUUGUUUGGGGUCAUCAGUCAUGCUCUCUUACUACAGUACUGAUGUUCGGAAACACAGGCUGAAUUGUUUUGGACACACGAUCCAUUUAUUUAGCUAGGCACAAGUGUGUGUGUGUGUGUGUGUGUGUGUGUGUGAGCAUGUAUGUUUGUUUUUCUGAGAGCCCUGACUUGUACUGCACCCAUGAGUGCCCAGGGAACACUGCCUUCUUGGGUCAGACUGGGAACAGAAGGGCAAGAGUCCCGGUUUCAAGAUUCUACUACUCCCUCCCCCCCGCCCCCCUCCCCCCGACUCAGUAGGUGAA
Ornithorhynchus anatinus (platypus) is the source of this 971-nucleotide long non-coding RNA. RefSeq lists it as uncharacterized. The record is from RefSeq and is a predicted model, not a curated record. The transcript is spliced from 3 exons. Lineage: Eukaryota; Metazoa; Chordata; Mammalia; Monotremata; Ornithorhynchidae.